GUCCACGCCCUAAACGAUGUCAACUAGGUGUUGGGUGGGUAAAACCAUUUAGUACCGGAGCUAACGCGUGAAGUUGACCGCCUGGGGAGUACGGCCGCAAGGUUAAAACUCAAAGGAAUUGACGGGGACCCGCACAAGCGGUGGAUGAUGUGGAUUAAUUCGAUGCAACGCGAAAAACCUUACCUACCCUUGACAUGUUCAGAAUCCCUGAGAGAUUGGGGAGUGCCCGAAAGGGAGCUGGAACACAGGUGCUGCAUGGCUGUCGU
RNAcentral lists this ribosomal RNA (266 nucleotides) under uncultured bacterium. Its description in RNAcentral is "partial 16S ribosomal RNA". It matches the Rfam family "Bacterial small subunit ribosomal RNA", at positions 793 to 1055 of the family's 1533-position model. The record is from RNAcentral.